GUGUCAGCAGCCGCGGUAAUACAGAGGUCCCAAGCGUUGUUCGGAUUUACUGGGCGUAAAGGGUGCGUAGGUGGCGAGGUAAGUUCGAUGUGAAAUCUCCGAGCUCAACUCGGAAAUGGCAUUGAAUACUAUCCCGCUUGAGGGUCGGAGGGGAGACUGGAAUUCUCGGUGUAGCAGUGAAAUGCGUAGAUAUCGAGAGGAACACCAGUGGCGAAGGCGAGUCUCUGGACGACUCCUGACACUGAGGCACGAAAGCUGGGGGAGCAAACAGGAUUAGAUACCCUGGUAGUCC
Molecule: ribosomal RNA, 292 nt
Filed under: uncultured bacterium
Lineage: Bacteria
Description: partial 16S ribosomal RNA
Rfam family: Bacterial small subunit ribosomal RNA
Source: RNAcentral